Molecule: ribosomal RNA, 460 nt
Filed under: uncultured bacterium
Lineage: Bacteria
Description: partial 16S ribosomal RNA
Rfam family: Bacterial small subunit ribosomal RNA
Source: RNAcentral
CCUACGGGGGGCAGCAGUGAGGAAUAUUGGUCAAUGGGCGCGAGCCUGAACCAGCCAAGUCGCGUGAGGGAGGACGGCCCUACGGGUUGUAAACCUCUUUUGCCGGGGAGCAACGGGCGUCACGUGUGGCGCCACUGAGAGUACCCGGAGAAAAAGCAUCGGCUAACUCCGUGCCAGCAGCCGCGGUAAUACGGAGGAUGCGAGCUUUAUCCGGAUUUAUUGGGUUUAAAGGGUGCGUAGGCGGAUCGUUAGGUCAGUGGUCAAAUUGAGGGGCUCAACCCCUUCCCGCCAUUGAAACUGGCGUUCUUGAGUGGAAGAGAAGUAUGCGGAAUUCGCGGUGUAGCGGUGAAAUGCGUAGAUAUUGGGAAGAACACCGGUGGCGAAGGCGGCCUGCUGGACAUUAACUGACGCUGAGGCGCGAAAGCGUGGGGAGCGAACAGGAUUAGAUACCCUUGUAGUC